Molecule: RNA transcript, 3772 nt
Organism: Drosophila nasuta
Lineage: Eukaryota; Metazoa; Arthropoda; Insecta; Diptera; Drosophilidae
Exons: 16
Source: RefSeq, a predicted model, not a curated record
GUGUUCCUCUGUUUUAUUUAUUUUUUGUGUUGCCUUAUUCAAAAAUAUUUAAAUAAAUAUUUUAAAUUAAUUAAAAAGUUUAACUAUUUAUUUAUUCAAUUGCAAAACGAUCUUUGAAAUCAUUGUUUUGUGUUUUAUGAACAAUUUUCUUAAGUUUAACGAUGCCUCUGAUGUCUGGAACAAUGUCAUUGGCAAUUGAAUAAUGGAUCUUGCAGAUCAAAUCGAUGACUAUAUCUGUUCGUUCGAGGGACUUGGUGACUUAACAAUGGACUCCCUAGCCAUGUUCAUAUUCUUGUGGGCCGUCUUGGCCCUCUUCUCCGUUUGGCUGUGCAAGCUUCUCUACCACAAGUAUCUCAACAAGAGCGCCAAUGCGCCAGUCAGCGCCAGCAACAGUCGCCAGAGCAGCGUGGCACCAACAACCGCUGGCGGUGCCAAGACCGAGAAGCGACUCUCCGAGCCACGCGAACUGAUGGCCACCAAGAGCAAAAUCGACGAUCUAUCCAAACCUCUAACGGGCGGUGCCUCAGGGGGGCGUGGACGAUCUAGUGCCUCGCCCAUGGGCGGUGGAAGCGGAGGAUCUGUGGGUGGACCACGUCGUCGCAUGGUCCGCCAGAGUUCCACGGGACCUGAGAAUCGCAAGAAGCGCUAUGUGCCACCGCCGUCGAAUGUAGUGGGACCCGAAACGAGCUCCGUCACGUGGACAAGUCAAGUGUUCCGUUGGCUGUACAGCGAUCUGGUUAUUGUCAACGAGCUGCUCAUGUCCUGGGUGAUUGCCAUCAAUGACACACUGCGCAAAUCCGUCGAGGAGCAUGGUGUGGCAGUUGAAGUGGUCCGAGUGCUGCCCGACAGUCCAGCACCGGGGCUGAACAACAUUUUCUGCAACUGCGAGGAACAGAAUCCAGCUGAAAUGCUCAUCACCUUUGACUGUGACGCGAUGCCAGUGCUGCAGGUGAAGACCUUCAGACAAAAGUCGGGCAAGGUGGAGACAUCGCACUAUAAGGUCACCGUGUCGCGAUUCCGAGCACGCAUGUCCAUACCCAUGAACUACAACACCCUCAAGGGUGAGAUGCGUGUUGAUGGCUAUCCGGACGUGCGCAUUGCCAUGAACUCGGUGGGCGCCAUCAAGGCCAUGGAUCAGGAUGAGCAACAGCUGCAGACAGUUAUCAGCGACAUAUUGACGACGGCACUGCGUGACACCGUCUACCCAGUGGAUUUCUCCAUCUACUCCACCUGUCCGCGUGCCGAAGUGGAGCCAUUGGAGCUACCUGUAAUCUAUCCCGUCCAUUAUGAUUCGCUGGCGCACAAUAUGGAGCAUCUGGGAUCGGGCAUCUUGCGGGACUCACAGCACAUGGUUUCCGGUCGUCGUCUGUUGGUGAAGAUUGUCAAGGGCGAGGGGCUGCGCGAUGCCCACGAUCCCUAUGUGGUCAUCGAGAUGGAUGAGCCGGCCCAAAAGAACCAAACGGGCACACAGCAUGGCAGCAAACCCUACUGGGAUGAGCACUUCCUCUUUGAACUCUCCCCGCAAUCUGCCGAGAUACUCUUUGAAGUCUACGACCGUCCAGUGAUUGCCUCGGAUCCGCCCAAGUUCCUGGGUCUCGGCCUCGUUGGCAUCGAUGAGCUGGCCGUUGGCCCAGCCUCGACGCAGUUGCUCCAGCUGCAGCCGCGUCCCUACGAGACGCAGCCCGUGGCUGGCGCCAUCACCGUGGACUUUGUGUUCAUCGAGGGUGCUGAGAUCCCCGCGGGCGCUCGUCCCAACCGCCUAAAGGAGGCACUGCGUCUCAGCACGCCCGCCAUCAACGAGCACAUCCGCAAUGGCGCCGAUCUUGCCGAUGCUGCUGUGCGUGCCCUCCAAGAUGGAGCUCUCUCCGGCACCAGUGGUGGACAGCCGAGCAAGAGCACGCUGAUUAUCCACAGCGUGCAGCGAAACUCGAGCAAUCCCAACGCAUACAAGGUCGAGCUGAACAAGGAUGGUCGCAUCGAGGUGACCGAGACGCCGACAGCUCUUGACCAGGCCGUUGCCGAGGCUUUUGAGCGUGCUGCCAAGGCCAGCGAAGUGUCCGCUUCGGCCUCGAAUGUUGAGGCCAUCGAUCAGGCCGGCGAUCAGGUUGACAGUGGCCUGGUCAACGAGUCCGCCAAUGCCAACGAAACAGGUAACCCCAUCAACGAGGAGAGCACCGGCGAGUUUGGCCUGCCUAAUGCCGCCUCGUCGCCCAAUGGCAGUGGCUACCACAAUAACUACAGCCUCAAUGGCAGCAGCAAUCUCACCGGCCAACCCAAUGGCAGCGGCUCCGGCUACAACUCGAAUAGUCUGUCCCGGAAUGGUGCGUCCCUCUCCUAUGCUGCCGGACAGCAGCAGCAGCAGUUGGCAGGAGCCGAGCUGGAUGAUCGCGGUCGGAGCAAAAAACGUAAUUUCUUUGGCACCCUCAAGAAGCGGCUAAGUCGCUCCAAAACACGUACCCUUUCGGCCGAUCAGCCCAAUAACAACCAUAAAUCAGUCACAAAUUCCGCCAAUACAACUACAACAACAGCCACUGGAAUAACAAGAACAACCACCGGACCCCUCAAUGGUGAAUCUUCCCGUUCAUUAUCUGUCGAUCGUGCUACUCUGUCUAAAAGCAAUUCACUUGGACCCCGCAUGGGCAUUGGUUCGUCCAUGACCGACCACUCACGUCGCUCUUCAAUUUCAGAAUCUUCGGCAAUCUCAGGUUUCUCCUCGGCCAGCAACAAAACCUAUGUGCACGAGGCAUCCACCCUGGUACUGGAGACCGUUGAGAAUGGUGUCAAGCGUCAUUUCGUUGUGCCGCUGGCCAUUGCACAAAGACCUCGCUGGCGACGCAAGGGCACCAAGUUGCACAUCUACAACGAUCACACCUUCAUAGCCAAGCAUUUGAGCGGUAGCGGGCUACAGUGUUCCAUCUGCAUGAAGUCCAUACCUAGGAGACCGGGCAAGCAGGGCUAUGAGUGCCGCGACUGUCAACUGAUCUGCCACAAGCAGUGUCACGUGAGGGCGCCACAGGCGUGUCCCAAUCCGACAGUACUCUCCAUGGAACUGAUGACUAAUGAACAGUGAUUAAACGCGCACAAAAUCAACAACAACAAAAAUACUCGUACUGCAAAUAAAAUAAGUUUAUGUAUAAUAUAUUCAAUGAGGUCAAAGCUAACAACAACAUCGGAUUAAUCCAGCAUUUUGUAAUUUUGACGCCAAAUGCAAACAGUUUUAUUUUCGCGAUAUACACACGUAUUCAAUCAGGCAGUUAAUCAGACAGUCAGUAAUCAAGCUUCCCGUCCGGUUGCCCCCAGAAGUUGUGGGGGCUUAAGAGUAUUGUUUUUAACUUAGGAAAAUGGAACGAAACUUAACUCGACUGCGGCGGAUCGUAGCAUUAGGAAAUUGUAAAGAAAUCUACAAUACAAUAUGGAAAAAUCGAAUCGAAAUAAUAAUUUUAAAUAGUUUGCAUUCUUAACACUAAGAAAAAACCUCAACAAUAAUGAUGAAAAUGAAAUGAAACUCCCGAACACAGACAAACAAAAAUACUUGCAUGCAUAUAUGGAAUAUCCAUUUAUGAUACUGAAUCUACUUAAUAAUAUUUAUAAUUAUGUUAUUUAAUUUAUACACAAGUGCAAUACUAUGCUUUAAAACCAUAUAAGGUUUUAUUGUAAUGCGUCUACAAAACCGAAACUAAUGGAAUUUUGAAUUUAUUUUUUUUACCGUAAAAUAUAAUAAUUGUACAAAUCCGAAUCAUUUUUGAAUAAAAAUUAUUGGUAAACUGAAAAA